Molecule: ribosomal RNA, 253 nt
Filed under: uncultured bacterium
Lineage: Bacteria
Description: partial 16S ribosomal RNA
Rfam family: Bacterial small subunit ribosomal RNA
Source: RNAcentral
UACGAGUGGUCCAAGCAUUAUCCGGUUUUAUUGGGCGUAAAGGGUCCGCAGGCGGUCUUAUUUGUCUUAUGUUAAAUCCUGGUGCUCAACAUCAGGACUGCGUAGGAAACGGUAGGACUAGAGACUGGGAGAGGUAAGCGGAAUUGCCGGUGUAGCAGUAAAAUGCGUUAAUAUCGGCAGGAACACCAAAGGCGAAGGCAGCUUACUAGAACAGUUCUGACGCUCAGGGACGAAAGCGUGGGGAGCGAAAGGG